GAUGAAGAACGUAGCGAAAUGCGAUAAGUAGUGUGAAUUGCAGAAUUCAGUGAAUCAUCGAAUCUUUGAACGCACAUUGCGCCCUUUGGUAUUCCAAAGGGCAUGCCUGUUCGAGCGUCAUUUGUACCCUCAAGCUUUGCUUGGUGUUGGGCGUCUUGUCUCUAGCUUUGCUGGAGACUCGCCUUAAAGUAAUUGGCAGCCGGCCUACUGGUUUCGGAGCGCAGCACAUGUCGCACUCUCUAUCAGCAAAGGUCUAGCAUCCAUUAAGCCUUUUUUUCAACUUUUGACCUCGGAUCAGGUAGGGAUACCCGCUGAACUUAAGCAUAUCAAUAAGCGGAGGA
This 341-nucleotide unclassified non-coding RNA is filed under the name soil metagenome. RNAcentral describes it as "partial contains 5.8S ribosomal RNA, internal transcribed spacer 2, and large subunit ribosomal RNA". The stretch from base 1 to 120 matches the Rfam family "5.8S ribosomal RNA", at positions 35 to 154 of the family's 154-position model. The record is from RNAcentral.